GAAAUGCGAUAAGUAAUGUGAAUUGCAGAAUUCCGUGAAUCAUCGAAUCUUUGAACGCACAUUGCGCCCUCUGGCAUUCCGGGGGGCAUGCCUGUCCGAGCGUCAUUACGCACCCUCAAGCCCGGCUUGUGUGAUGGGCCCCGAAAACCAGUGGCGGGCUCGCUGUCACACCGGGCGUAGUAGAUUUUUCGUCUCGCCCAGGGCGUGCUGCGGGUUCCGGCCGUUAAAAAGCCUCUCUUUUAACCCAAGGUUGACCUCGGAUCAGGUAGGAAGACCCGCUGAACUUAAGC
Molecule: unclassified non-coding RNA, 290 nt
Filed under: plant metagenome
Description: partial contains 5.8S ribosomal RNA, internal transcribed spacer 2, and large subunit ribosomal RNA
Rfam family: 5.8S ribosomal RNA (bases 1-105)
Source: RNAcentral